GCCCGGAUGGUGAAAUUGGUAGACACAAGGGACUUAAAAUCCCUCGCCCCGUUAAACGGGCAUCCCGGUUCGAUUCCGGGUCCGGGCACCA
RNAcentral lists this transfer RNA (91 nucleotides) under Betaproteobacteria bacterium. RNAcentral describes it as "tRNA-Leu". It matches the Rfam family "tRNA". From Rfam's summary of the family: Transfer RNA (tRNA) molecules are approximately 80 nucleotides in length. The record is from RNAcentral. Lineage: Bacteria; Pseudomonadati; Pseudomonadota; Betaproteobacteria. RNAcentral also lists the same sequence under 1 other name.